Molecule: ribosomal RNA, 254 nt
Filed under: uncultured bacterium
Lineage: Bacteria
Description: partial 16S ribosomal RNA
Rfam family: Bacterial small subunit ribosomal RNA
Source: RNAcentral
UACGGAGGGUGCAAGCGUUAAUCGGAAUUACUGGGCGUAAAGCGCACGUAGGUGGUUUUCUAAGUCAGCUGUGAAAUCCCCGGGCUCAACCUGGGACUUGCAGUUGAAACUGGAAAGCUAGAGUAGGGUAGAGGGGGUGUGGAAUUCCAGGUGUAGCGGUGAAAUGCGUAGAUAUCUGGAGGAACAUCAGUGGCGAAGGCGACACCCUGGACUCAUACUGACACUGAGGUGCGAAAGCGUGGGGAGCAAACAGG